GGGGGGGAAGGAGAGAGGCUCCCUGGGCAAAGCACCUGUCCCGUUAGCAGGGGCACAGUCACGUUUGAGUUGAGAGCUGCCGGCGCCUUUGGUGACCAGGCUGGCGUUGUGCUGGGCGACCUCCCCGUAAGCGGGGCUCGGGUCUUUGCUGUAGUUGGCCUUUUGCCUUGCUGCUCCUUUGGCUGCCUGGGGAGCGUGGCCCCCUGUAACGGAGGGCGAGAGCCACCUCUCCGCACCUGAGUGGGAAAUGGAGCUCGCCGGACCCCAAGGCCACCCUGUAAGCAGGGUAGUGCCGUUUCCCUGCCCUCUUCCUCCCCCGGCCCCUCGGCAUCGUUGCCUGAUGGUGGCUUGUCAAUGCGACGGCCCCGUACUCGGGGUGUGUGUCCCAAGCUUUGGAGCCCUCUGUCCCUGAGCAGCCCGCCCGCCCUGUAAUCAGGUGUGGGGAGGCUGCAGCGUUGCAGCCGGCUGCUUUAGCCAUCCAGCUGGUGGGAGUGACCCCUCCCUGUCCCGUCAGAGGGUGCAGGUUGAGGUGCUGUUUGUGUGUGGGGUGACCUCCCCGCUCGGUGGGUCGAGGUAGCUCCCUGGGCUUCCAAAGACGAGACGUUGGUGAUGUUCUGCUGCUGCCGGGCGGGCCAGCCUGUAACUCAGGCGUUGGCGGGAGCCUCGUGCUCCGCGGGGCUUCUUGAAGAGGGUGAGGUGUGGGGGUACCGUCCUGUAGGCAGGGCUGUGUGUGCCCCCCGUGUGUGCUUGGUGAGCUGCGUUCUGAGAGACCCCCUGUACUCAGGUGGGAAUGUGGCCCCGGCCUUUCAGAGGCGCGGGGCCGUGAGAUGCGGGGUGGGGCUUGCGCCCUCCCUGGAAUCGGGGCUGGGAUCCCGACUGCGGCCUUUGGCCGUGCCGCCCCGCUGCCUGGCUGCUGAGAGUUGCUCCUGCCGCUGGGGGGGAAACCGAGCUCUGUGGC
This 958-nucleotide long non-coding RNA is filed under the name Gallus gallus (chicken). The record is from RNAcentral. Lineage: Eukaryota; Metazoa; Chordata; Aves; Galliformes; Phasianidae.